UUGAAAGGGAAACGAUUGAAGUCAGUCGUACCGACGAGAAAUCAACUUAUCGUGUGCGAACUUGUGGGCGUGCGUGAGUUUCGGCCUCGCUGUUUGCAUGUUUGUGCGUUUUGGGUGUACUUUUUCGUAUGGUAGGCCAACGUCAGUUUCGAUUAUCAUGAAAUGACCGGCGGAAUGUAGCUUCGAUUUCGGUUGAAGUGUUAUAGCCUCUGGUAGAUGUGGUGAUUGAGACUGAGGAUUGCAACGAAUACCCUUCGGGCUAUCCGUCUGGCCUCUGAAAGUUGCUCAGGUGCCGAAAGCGUGCUUACGGUUAUCUAAGAUAACGUUCAACAGGUUAGAACGUGAUUACAUUCGUUAAGGAUGUUGACGUA
RNAcentral lists this ribosomal RNA (371 nucleotides) under uncultured Glomeromycotina. RNAcentral describes it as "eukaryotic LSU rRNA". Lineage: Eukaryota; Fungi; Glomeromycota. The record is from RNAcentral.